RNAcentral lists this ribosomal RNA (253 nucleotides) under uncultured bacterium. RNAcentral's name for it is "partial 16S ribosomal RNA". It matches the Rfam family "Bacterial small subunit ribosomal RNA", at positions 524 to 776 of the family's 1533-position model. The record is from RNAcentral.
UACGGAGGGGGCUAGCGUUGUUCGGAAUUACUGGGCGUAAAGCGCACGUAGGCGGCUUUGUAAGUUAGAGGUGAAAGCCUAGAGCUCAACUCCAGAAUUGCCUUUAAGACUGCAUCGCUAGAAUUGUGGAGAGGGAUGCGGAAUUCCAGGUGUAGCGGUGAAAUGCGUAGAUAUCAGGAGGAACACCGAUGGCGAAGGCAGGUCUCUGGGCUGACACUGACGCUCAUGCACGAAAGCGUGGGGAGCAAACAGG